Molecule: ribosomal RNA, 1343 nt
Filed under: uncultured bacterium
Lineage: Bacteria
Description: 16S ribosomal RNA
Rfam family: Bacterial small subunit ribosomal RNA
Source: RNAcentral
GACGAACGCUUGCGGCGUGCUUAACACAUGCAAGUCGAACGGAAAGGCCCUGCUUUUGUGGGGUGCUCGAGUGGCGAACGGGUGAGUAACACGUGAGUAACCUGCCCUUGACUUUGGGAUAACUUCAGGAAACUGGGGCUAAUACCGGAUAGGAGCUCCUGCUGCAUGGUGGGGGUUGGAAAGUUUCGGCGGUUGGGGAUGGACUCGCGGCUUAUCAGCUUGUUGGUGGGGUAGUGGCUUACCAAGGCUUUGACGGGUAGCCGGCCUGAGAGGGUGACCGGCCACAUUGGGACUGAGAUACGGCCCAGACUCCUACGGGAGGCAGCAGUGGGGAAUAUUGCACAAUGGGCGGAAGCCUGAUGCAGCAACGCCGCGUGCGGGAUGGCGGCCCUCGGGUUGUAAACCGCUUUCGCCUGUGACGAAGCGUGAGUGACGGUAAUGGGUAAAGAAGCACCGGCUAACUACGUGCCAGCAGCCGCGGUGAUACGUAGGGUGCGAGCGUUGUCCGGAUUUAUUGGGCGUAAAGGGCUCGUAGGUGGUUGAUCGCGUCGGAAGUGUAAUCUUGGGGCUUAACCCUGAGCGUGCUUUCGAUACGGGUUGACUUGAGGAAGGUAGGGGAGAAUGGAAUUCCUGGUGGAGCGGUGGAAUGCGCAGAUAUCAGGAGGAACACCAGUGGCGAAGGCGGUUCUCUGGGCCUUUCCUGACGCUGAGGAGCGAAAGCGUGGGGAGCGAACAGGCUUAGAUACCCUGGUAGUCCACGCUGUAAACGGUGGGUACUAGGUGUGGGGUCCAUUCCACGGGUUCCGUGCCGUAGCUAACGCUUUAAGUACCCCGCCUGGGGAGUACGGCCGCAAGGCUAAAACUCAAAGGAAUUGACGGGGCCCCGCACAAGCGGCGGAGCAUGCGGAUUAAUUCGAUGCAACGCGUAGAACCUUACCUGGGUUUGACAUGGAUCGGGAGUGCUCAGAGAUGGGUGUGCCUCUUUUGGGGUCGGUUCACAGGUGGUGCAUGGCUGUCGUCAGCUCGUGUCGUGAGAUGUUGGGUUAAGUCCCGCAACGAGCGCAACCCUUGUUCACUGUUGCCAGCACGUUAUGGUGGGGACUCAGUGGAGACCGCCGGGGUCAACUCGGAGGAAGGUGGGGAUGACGUCAAGUCAUCAUGCCCCUUAUGUCCAGGGCUUCACGCAUGCUACAAUGGCUGGUACAGAGAGUGGCGAGCCUGUGAGGGUGAGCGAAUCUCGGAAAGCCGGUCUCAGUUCGGAUUGGGGUCUGCAACUCGACCUCAUGAAGUCGGAGUCGCUAGUAAUCGCAGAUCAGCAACGCUGCGGUGAAUACGUUCCCGGG